Molecule: ribosomal RNA, 497 nt
Filed under: uncultured bacterium
Lineage: Bacteria
Description: partial 16S ribosomal RNA
Rfam family: Bacterial small subunit ribosomal RNA
Source: RNAcentral
GAUGAACGCUGGCGGCGUGCCUAAUACAUGCAAGUCGAGCGAACGGACGAGAAGCUUGCUUCUCUGAUGUUAGCGGCGGACGGGUGAGUAACACGUGGAUAACCUACCUAUAAGACUGGGAUAACUUCGGGAAACCGUAGCUAAUACCGGAUAAUAUUUUGAACCGCAUGGUUCAAAAGUGAAAGACGGUCUUGCUGUCACUUAUAGAUGGAUCCGCGCUGCAUUAGCUAGUUGGUAAGGUAACGGCUUACCAAGGCAACGAUGCAUAGCCGACCUGAGAGGGUGAUCGGCCACACUGGAGCUGAGACACGGUCCAGACUCCUACGGGAGGCAGCAGUAGGGAAUCUUCCGCAAUGUGCGAAAGCCUGACGGAGCAACGCCGCGUGAGUGAUGAAGGUCUUCGGAUCGUAAAACUCUGUUAUUAGGGAAGAACAUAUGUGUAAGUAACUGUGCACAUCUUGACGGUACCUAAUCAGAAAGCCACGGCUAACUACGUG